GGUUGUGGCUCAGUGGUAGAGCGCUCGCCUAGCAUACAAGAGGCACUGGGUUUGAACCUCAGCACCA
RNAcentral lists this transfer RNA (67 nucleotides) under Marmota monax (woodchuck). Its description in RNAcentral is "tRNA.Ala". It matches the Rfam family "tRNA". From Rfam's summary of the family: Transfer RNA (tRNA) molecules are approximately 80 nucleotides in length. Their secondary structure includes four short double-helical elements and three loops (D, anti-codon, and T loops). The record is from RNAcentral. Lineage: Eukaryota; Metazoa; Chordata; Mammalia; Rodentia; Sciuridae.